UACACGAAGGUGCUUUCUGACUCGCUGACAGAACUAGCCUGAUUUUUUUGCUUAUUUUUUUAAUGGAUAAUUUAACCCAGACAGAGUGAUGUAGACUCAGGUAUUUAAACCACCAGUGGUAUUGGGUGUGCAAUAAAUGGAAUAUUGAGUCUUGCUUUAUAACAGUACUUUGAAUUUAAAAUUAAACUUGCUCGUUAUAUUGGUUUCCUAAACCAAAGCAACAUUUGCAGCAGCUGCUGCCUAUCUACAGAAUGCUUUUUUCCCCCUUUAUUUCCAGACUGAAAGGAAAGCAACAAAUCCAAAAGCCAAUAGACUAAAAAUAUCUGAUGGAUAUAAUGAAAAAGAUGAAGGGGAACAGAUGACACACAGAUGAGUUUUGCUUAAAAAUGUUUAAUGGAGCCUUGUUUACCUCGACUACAGAUGAUCAAGGGCCUCCCUUUCCCAAGAUUUUUUCUGCAUCAUGGGGAGUAAUGAAGAGGACUUGUCAUUGCCUCCAGCUGUCAUUUAAAACUGUCUGUGCUCCCUGUAAAACAUCUACACUGCUUUCUGCAAAGGUUCGGAGAUCACAUCCACACUGUGCAGCUGAAUUUUGCUGGAGUUGGGCACUGAUGGUAGAGAGGCCCUUGGGACCAUCACGUUUAUCUAUCAAGCACCCGUGCACUCGCUUUGACCUGUGCUCUCCUUCUGUGCUGCCAUGCCUGUCUCACCUGGUGCCACAGACAGUGUUUCACAUGUGUGACGUAGAGCUCUUUCCUGCAGUGAGCAAUUUAAAGCAGAAAGGUCUGCAUUUUACAGUAAAUGGAAGCAAGGAUCUAUGA
RNAcentral lists this long non-coding RNA (818 nucleotides) under Taeniopygia guttata (zebra finch). RNAcentral describes it as "lncRNA (ENSTGUG00000018903.1)". Lineage: Eukaryota; Metazoa; Chordata; Aves; Passeriformes; Estrildidae. The record is from RNAcentral.